GUAAAUGGGAUACAGAACAAAAUAGGGGAAGUAGCAUGUUGUCAUUUUAACAGUAAUAAAUCAUAAGGCUUUUACAUUCCAUUCUGUUUUUUUAACAAAGAAAAAGAAAAUGUAUACAGGUCCAACCAUCUAUCAUACCCUGUAGUAUUUCAGUUAGGAGUUAUUUCAUUCAAUGUAGGUUCACAAGUACAUUCGACUAUCUGUCUCCCCUCUCCAGGGGAAACUCUCCCUCCUAUAUGCAACUGGUGGGGUUCCCUUGAGUAGGGCUAUACUUCCCCUGGCAAGGUUGGGUCUGCUUUGAUCUCUGGUCAUUGUUCAAGGUGUAUGCCUUAUAAUGCCUCUAUAUUUAGCUUGUGUGACUCAUGCAGGUUGGGAUAGGGGGAACAACAUGGGAGAGAAGGGUAAGUGGGGGGUCUGCCUAGUUCUGCAAUUGUGUAGAUUCUCUGUUAUCCCGUCACUGAUCUGUGUUAGUAGUGGCGUGGUUAUGUAUCUUCUCAAGGUCCUUAGGCCCUCUUGUUACUAUCUUGGAGUCCCUAAGGUGUGUCCUUCCAAUCUCGUAUCCAGGGUGACCAUGUGCCUAGGUAUUUAUCCCUUUUCCCUAAUGUUGACCAGUGAAUUUCUUCCAGCUCCCUCACUCUCUCCACUCUCUGCACCCACUGUUCUCUAGUAGGAAUACUCAUCUUUCAACAAUAUACCGGGAUGAGAGCAUUUGCUUCACCCAGCAUUAUGUUCAGUAGUAGUUGUUUGGGCUUCUCAUUAGUGGAGCUAGGCCAACCUAGGAGGACUUGGGAUAACGUGAGGCGGGCUUUCAAAGGGAUGAUCAGUGUAAUAUCUGUUAAUACUUGCUGCCAAAAGGGGGUGAUGUCAUGGCACUGCCACCAAACGUGUUCCAUAUCUCCCUGUUCCCCAUUGCAUCUCCAACAUUUAUCACUCACUGCGGGCCAGUAAGUAUGAAGCUGUACAGGGGUUCUAUACCAUCUGGUGACCCUCUUAUAGAAGGCCUCCUUCCUGGAAUUACUGACCGGAGCUUUGAUCCCUGCCUCAAGUAGGUGCACCCAAUCUUGAUUGGACAAAUAGAUAUGUAGACCUCUCAUCCAUUUUUGUUGGAAUGAGACCUCUUGCUGUUCUACAGAGCUUGCUUGGAGUAUACGGUAGAGUUUUGACAGGGUACGUCUGUGGUCCUGCCCUGGGCCACAUAUGAGCUCAAAGGGGGUUUUAUUUCUAGUCUGCCAGAAUGGCAGAACCGAUUUGUGUAAAAAAGUUCU
This is a non-coding RNA of Pelobates cultripes (western spadefoot toad), 1265 nucleotides long. NCBI's taxonomy places the organism in Eukaryota, Metazoa, Chordata, Amphibia, Anura, Pelobatidae. The record is from the annotation of a GenBank genome assembly.